CAAUAGCGUAUAUUAAAGUUGUUGCAGUUAGAACGCUCGUAGUCGGAUUUCGGGGCGGGCCGACCGGUCUGCCGAUGGGUACGCACUGGUCGGCGCGUCCUUCCUUCCGGAGACCGUGCCUACUCUUAACUGAGCGGGGGCGGGAGACGGAUCGUUUACUUUGAAAAAAUCAGAGUGUUUCAAGCAGGCAGCUCGCUCUUGCAUGGAUUAGCAUGGGAUAAUGAAAUAGGACUUUGGUACUAUUUUGUUGGUUUCGAACACCGAAGUAAUGAUUAAAAGGGACAGUCAGGGGCACUCGUAUUCCGCCGAGAGAGGUGAAAUUCUCAGACCAGCGGAAGACGAACUACUGCGAAAGCAUUUGCCAGGGAUGUUUUCACUGA
Molecule: ribosomal RNA, 380 nt
Filed under: uncultured eukaryote
Lineage: Eukaryota
Description: partial 18S ribosomal RNA
Rfam family: Eukaryotic small subunit ribosomal RNA
Source: RNAcentral